GAGAUUAUUCCAGCUUAAGAACUGAAAAAAGAAAUAUUUAUGUCUUCACUCCUCAAACAUCCAUCAUGAAAAGAAGAAUCAAGAGAACAAAAAAAAAAGAAACAGAAGAAAAAGAAAACAAGUUCAGGCAUGGAAGUUGCAAUUAGCUCAAGAUGCGGUUCGCCAUUGCAGCUCGACUUGAAGGCGACCGUUCUUUGAAUCAAUGAGGUGGUACUUCUCAUUGAUCCUUUUGUUGCUAACAACAUCGGAAAGAUUUAUAUCAACAUAACCCAAUGUCUCCUUAGGAUGCAAUAGGCCAAUCCUUGUAGAGGUGCUGACAACUUCCAUAUGCACCCUAUCAUUCACAGGAGGCUCCUCCAACACAAAAGUAAACUCCUCUUCCCAUCUUGGAUCCCUGUUCUUCUUGACUUGCUUAGUUUUUCUCUCCUCUCCUUUGAAAAGAAUCUUGACAUAUGGAUUAGUAUGGUGCUUUCCUUCAACAUCU
This 484-nucleotide unclassified non-coding RNA is filed under the name Hevea brasiliensis (rubber tree). The record is from RNAcentral. Lineage: Eukaryota; Viridiplantae; Streptophyta; Magnoliopsida; Malpighiales; Euphorbiaceae.